UACGUAGGGUGCAAGCGUUGUCCGGAAUUAUUGGGCGUAAAGAGCUCGUAGGCGGUUUGUCGCGUCCGCUGUGAAAAUCCAGGGCUUAACCCUGGACCUGCAGUGGGUACGGGCAGACUAGAGUGCGGUAGGGGAGAUCGGAAUUCCUGGUGUAGCGGUGGAAUGCGCAGAUAUCAGGAGGAACACCAGUGGCGAAGGCGGGUCUCUGGGCAGUAACUGACGCUGAGGAGCGAAAGCGUGGGGAGCGAACAGG
Molecule: ribosomal RNA, 253 nt
Filed under: uncultured bacterium
Lineage: Bacteria
Description: partial 16S ribosomal RNA
Rfam family: Bacterial small subunit ribosomal RNA
Source: RNAcentral